UACGAAGGGGGCUAGCGUUGCCCGGAAUGACUGGGCGUAAAGAGCGUGUAGGCGGCCCCUUAAGUCCUGCGUGAAAUCCUGCGGCUCAACCGCAGACGGUCGUGGGAAACUGGAGGGCUAGAGUGCGGGAGAGGAGAGUGGAAUUCCCGGUGUAGCGGUGAAAUGCGCAGAUAUCGGGAAGAACACCCGUGGCGAAGGCGGCUCUCUGGAACGCAACUGACGCUGAGACGCGAAAGCGUGGGGAGCAAACAGG
RNAcentral lists this ribosomal RNA (253 nucleotides) under uncultured bacterium. RNAcentral describes it as "partial 16S ribosomal RNA". It matches the Rfam family "Bacterial small subunit ribosomal RNA", at positions 524 to 776 of the family's 1533-position model. The record is from RNAcentral.